CCUACGGGUGACAGCAGUGGGGAAUCUUGCACAAUGGGGGAAACCCUGAUGCAGCGACGCCGCGUGAGUGAAGAAGUAUUUCGGUAUGUAAAGCUCUAUCAGCAGGGAAGAAAAUGACGGUACCUGAUUAAGAAACCCCGGCUAACUACGUGCCAGCAGCCGCGGUAAUACGUAGGGGGCAAGCGUUAUCCGGAUUUACUGGGUGGAAAGGGAGCGUAGACGGCAGCACAAGGCUUGAGUGAAAGGCCGGGGCUUAACCCCGGAACUGCUUUGGAAACUGUGCAGCUAGAGUGCAGGAGAGGUAAGUGGAAGUACUAGUGUAGCGGUGAAAUGCGGAGAUAUUAGGAGGAACACCAGUGGCGAAGGCGGCUUACUGGACUGUAACGGACGUUGAGGCUCGAAAGCGUGGGGAGCAAACAGGAUUAGAUACCCUUGUAGUC
This 440-nucleotide ribosomal RNA is filed under the name uncultured bacterium. RNAcentral's name for it is "partial 16S ribosomal RNA". It matches the Rfam family "Bacterial small subunit ribosomal RNA", at positions 338 to 795 of the family's 1533-position model. The record is from RNAcentral.